UGAAAAUGGUGUGCGUCCAAUCAAACGGGUCCGUCUUUACUUUAGCAUGUAAUCUGUCAUCAGAAUGAAAUAGUUUUUGCAGGUGAGUCACUGUUCAGUCCAGAAACAGGUACUUUCAUAUGCGUUGUUGACAUUGACUGCAGGCAGGUGGAUUCAGGAUGUCAAUAGACAAACAGAUAACUCAUUUCAUUGUUUUUAACGAUGUUUUAGACAAAAGUGUACACCCUUUACACAACAAAGACAUCUCCCGGCCUGACUCAUUGAGCUCAGACUCCACACGGUGAAUGACAUUCGCAGCCCACCGGAGGCGGGAGACACAGACCGCGAGGACGACGGCUGCCCACACAAAGCAACCCCCCGCAGUCAGGGUGGUGUUUGCAGUCCUCGGAUUUCUCAGUCAGGUUCGCCGAAGUGGCCCGUUUUGGUGACUCAAUACUUUUGCCACUAGCCCGGAGUGGUACAGCACACCAGUGGAAGUCCUGAGAACACGCCAUGUGACACGGAAAGGCUGCAGGACGUAGAUGUCGUUAACUACCAGGCGGCUGCAGAGCUGCAUCCCUCUGCACAGAUCAGGUCCGACCAGAGGUUCUCCAUGGCCAUGCUGACCCUACACAGGAUCCAGCGGCGCAGUGGGCAGUAAUACUCGUAGUGGAACUGCUCAAAUUCCGGCGUUUGGCGG
Long non-coding RNA from Pungitius pungitius (ninespine stickleback), 679 nucleotides. RefSeq lists it as uncharacterized. The transcript is spliced from 3 exons. The record is from RefSeq and is a predicted model, not a curated record. Lineage: Eukaryota; Metazoa; Chordata; Actinopteri; Perciformes; Gasterosteidae.